CAGGCCUAACACAUGCAAGUCGAACGCCCUCGGGCAACCGAGGGAGUGGCGGACGGGUGAGUAACACGUGGGUGAUCUACCAUCAGGUGAGGAAUACCGGCGAGAAAUCGCCGACAAUACCGCAUACGCUUCUCACGAAGCAAAGCUCGCAAGAGCGCCCGAUGAUGAGCCUGCGGUCGAUUAGCUAGUUGGCGAAGUAAUGGUUCACCAAGGCGACGAUCGAUAGCUGGUCUGAGAGGACGAUCAGCCACACUGGGAUUGAGAACGGCCCAGACUCCUACGGGGGGCAGCAGUGAGGAAUUUUCGUCAAUGGGGGCAACCCUGACCGAGCAACGCCGCGUGCAGGAAGAAGGUCUUCGGAUCGUAAACUGCUUUUCUCGGGGAAGAGAACGGACGGUACCCGAGGAAUCAGCCCCGGCUAACUACGUGCCAGCAGCCGCGGUAAUACA
Molecule: ribosomal RNA, 449 nt
Filed under: uncultured Alphaproteobacteria bacterium
Lineage: Bacteria; Pseudomonadati; Pseudomonadota; Alphaproteobacteria
Description: bacterial SSU rRNA
Rfam family: Bacterial small subunit ribosomal RNA
Source: RNAcentral